AGUGAACGUUGGCGGCGUGGAUUAGGCAUGCAAGUCGAGCGAGAACCGUAGCAAUACGGGGACAGCGGCGAAUGGGACAGUAAUGUGUAGGUACCUACCCCGAGGUCUGGGAUAGCUGCGGGAAACUGCAGGUAAUACCGGAUAAUGUCUUCGGACCAAAGGUGUGAUUCCACCUUGGGAGGGGCCUGCAUCCUAUUAGCUAGUUGGCGGGGUAAUGGCCCACCAAGGCAACGAUGGGUAGCGGGUGUGAGAGCACGACCCGCGUCAUUGGGACUGAGACACUGCCCAGGCACCUACGGGUGGCUGCAGUCGAGGGUCUUCGGCAAUGGGCGAAAGCCUGACCGGGCGACGCCGCGUGCGGGAUGAAGGCCUUCGGGUUGUAAACCGCUGUCGUAGAGGAGGAAAUGCAGGGGGGUUCUCCCUUCUGUUUGACCUAUUCUAGGAGGAAGUACGGGCUAAGUUCGUGCCAGCCGCCGCCGUAA
Molecule: ribosomal RNA, 482 nt
Filed under: uncultured bacterium
Lineage: Bacteria
Description: partial 16S ribosomal RNA
Rfam family: Bacterial small subunit ribosomal RNA
Source: RNAcentral